Long non-coding RNA from Cheilinus undulatus (humphead wrasse), 2232 nucleotides. RefSeq lists it as uncharacterized. The transcript has 14 exons. Lineage: Eukaryota; Metazoa; Chordata; Actinopteri; Labriformes; Labridae. The record is from RefSeq and is a predicted model, not a curated record.
GACGCGAGCGGGGUUGGCACCUUUUCCGUGAUGUCUCAAGACCGGGGACUUAAUAAUCAGACAGGGAAGAAGUCAGGAGAGGGGAGAUGAGCGACCAAGUGUCCAGAUGGAAAUGACAAGGUCAUUUCCUGGACUAUUUGGAUCAAGGGGGAAGCGUCGGUGCCUUCGAGGGCCUUCUAAAAACUUAGUGAGAGGAAGAGAGCUAAAAGUAACAUUCUACCUGUUGCCCAAAGUUCUUGAGUGCACACCUAAAGGCGCUGAAGAAUUUGUUCAUUUGCAAGUUGGUUUGGGAUGCAGGUCUGCAUUGAUUUCUGAGACCGACAAUCAUAAUCAGGUAUGUUCAGCACUCGCAGUUCUUUAUCCAAAACUGGACUGUGUUUCUGGAGGCUGGCUCUUGUACAAAGCAGCAGGAGGAUGGGGUUCGCGAAAACUUGCAAUGGUGUCUCCAGAGGAUAGUGGAUAUAAUGGAUUUCUUUUGAAAUCUGCAAGUGCAGGAGGAAAGAGUGUCCUAUACAUUGCCCCGUUACAAGAUGAGCUUGACACCGAACCGCUGCCUCCUGACUCCACAUCCUUUUGCAAAAUGCCAAGGCCAAUGUGCCACUCGUGCCACACAAGCUGCACGUUUUUACAUGCAGAUCCUAGCACUGCAUGUAAAAACGUGUCAGCCUUCAGAAUUUAAGCAUCAUAUCACAGAACCAUAUUGUUUUUUGAAGCUUAUUUGUUUUUUGUUUCUGUUAACAGGAUACACAGGAUGAUGUGGUUUUUUUAACCUCAAACACAGAAACUGUGUGCCCAGUCUGUGGCGAAGAAUUUCCUCCUGAUAAGGUGGAGGAACAUGCAAGUGACUGUGGAGAGAGCAGUGCAGACUUCGAUGCAACUUCAAACCACAAAAUUGAUAUUUCUAGCCUUGAGGACAUUCUGCAAGCUGUCUCUGCUGCUGUUAACAAAGAGGAAGAAUUUCCAGUAACUGUGUCGAGGGCCAAUAUGGUGGAGCGAGGCCUUGCUCAGUGGAAACGCCAAAAGAAGGCUUUGCCUACUAACAUGCUAAAAGUCACAUUCAUAGGGGAGUCAGGUGUCGACACAGGGGCAUUAAGAAAGGAGUUCCUCACAGACAUGGUUGCAGGCAUUGAGCAAAAGCUAUUUGAGGGUGACCAGAGUGGAAAAUGCCCCAAAUAUUCCAUGCUGGAUCUUGAUCAUGCAAACUUCAGAAGUGCUGGUGAAAUUUGGGCUGUGAGUCUGGCUCAAGGUGGGCCACCACCCUGCUGUCUCAAACUUUGGGUCUACAAAUACUUGUGUGAUGGAGAGCUGCAGAUACAGCAUAUACAGAAAGAGGAUGUCUGUGAUUGGAUAAACUGAUUAUCUCACAGGUUGAGUCAGCCACAGAAGCUGACAUCACUGAACUCACUGAGGAAAUUCUGAACUGUGGAUAUCAUGGACCUAUCUGUGUUGAAAAGAAAGAAGACAUUGUUCGCUCUGUUGUUCUUCAUGCCAUCCUACGGCUGCAGCCUUUUCUCUGUCAGCUGCGUGAAGGUCUGACACUGUAUGGUCUGGCUGAUUUAAUGAGCCAGUACCCAAAGAUCUGCCAACCACUCUUUGUUCCCGGGAAAGAGGUGAAGGCUGAUGCUGACUUUGUUUUUACAUCAUUCCAUCCCGAGUUCAGUGAGAAGGGCUCCAACAAAGAACAGGUGGAAGUUCGCAUCAUGAACCAUCUACAGGACUUCUUGCAAGAGCUUGAAACAAGUGAACCGACAGAGGAGGGUGACAAUCCAGGUUCCCUCUCCCCAAGUACAUUCCUGCAGUGGCUCACAGAACAAGGCCAUGUGCCUCUGCUGCCUGAGGAGAAGAACACCUUUAAACUGUUUGUGAAGUUCGAUCACACCUGUCACGUGAAGUACGGUGCUCAUGCAGUUUGCUACCCAACUGUUUCUGCAUGCAUCAAUACCAUCCAUCUGCCUGUUCAGCAUAUGCAAACCUUUAAUGCAUUCAAGCAAGUCAUGACAGAGGCCUUCUAUCAAGGGCAAGGAUUUCAUCAGGUUUGAGUUAAUGCAGUGUUAGAAUACUGAUACUGUAGUUUACUGUUGGGUACUGUUUUUAAUGCUGUUUACCUAUUAUGCAUUUACACACGUGUAGGUUCAGGAUGUUACACAUUUGAUAAAUGGUUCACACCAUCUGGUCAUUUCACAGAUCUUUCUUUUGAAAUGCAGUUGACCCAACCCCUCUAGUAACACUGAG